Molecule: long non-coding RNA, 661 nt
Organism: Rhagoletis pomonella (apple maggot)
Lineage: Eukaryota; Metazoa; Arthropoda; Insecta; Diptera; Tephritidae
Exons: 4
Source: RefSeq, a predicted model, not a curated record
AGCGGUUGGCUGAAAUAUUAUAUUGCGUGCGUGGAUAUUGGGGUCGCUCCAUGGUGGAAUUCAUCGAUGUGGCUAAGCGUGCGACUUACUCAUAUAGCCAGGUACAUACGAGCGUUUAUCUAAUGAAUUUGUAACCGGCACAGGUGUGUCUACAUCGUACUCGUGCACCACGGAGCGUGGCAAUGUUAAGGCACCGCUACUCGAAGCACCAUCACUACAAACUAUAAUUGGGAGAUCUACACUGCUUCAACUCACCUGGCGUUGUGCUGUGUAUAUUCUUAUCUAUAUUCUUUAGCUCCAUUUGAUCGUGAUGUAUCCAUAGAUCUGGCGGCUUUGGCACUCCCACAUUUUGCAUCCGCAAUGCGCUGACAUCAUUCGGCCAAAGAGGAAGAAACCUGUCAACGUCACAUUUGCAACAAACUAAUCAAUUGGAUCAGUUGCAGGCAGGUCAAGUAAGCAGCAGCAAAUGCAUAGAAAAUCAUCACUGCUCUUUACACAGGCAAACGAAGCCAAUGAACACAAAUAAGUAAUUUUACAACAUGUCUCCUGGCUACGAUGGAGUUCAACAUUCGGCGCUAGUUUAACGGUUAGGCUAACAGCUAACAAUUUUCCAUCAGGAAGCCUUGCAGCGCUUGCUCCUUCAUCAUCUAAACUGGAUUUA